UUGUUUGCUCAUUAAAUAAACAAGCAGCGCAUCUCUUCCCUCCGCCCCAUUGGCUCGCCGGUUAACAUCGCGCCAAAACAUGUCUUCCCCAUCAUGCAAUGAUUCUCACCUCUUUGCUCGACACAUCAACCCUUCCAAAUGGUUUUGCCCACUAACAAAAAGUAACAGGGUCCCAAUAACCUUCCGCUAUCCAAUUGUGGUCUGGGAAGGAAUAAUUGCCAGAUUUUGGUUUUAAAAAGGAAGAAUAAUAAAAAAGGCCCUGCCACCAUCAUUUUCUAAGCAAAAUAUUUGAUCCCUUGCAAGUUUUGGAUGUAGCAGCGCUGUUAAAACAUCAGUUGAUGGCACACAUGGCCGGUCCGAGUUUAUAUCAGAAUGAAUCUUAUUAAAAUUAAAACCAAAUUGAUCAAACUCAGAAUUGAUGAAAAUUAUUUCAAAUCUUAUUGAAAUCGAACCACAUUGAUUUUGACCGGUUAAGUUCAAUUCUAGAUAAAAUUGCAAAUUUUCACUUCAUUUUAUCAGAUUUAACCAAACCAGAUAAAUCAGAUUAAACUGAAUCGGAAUCAAUUUAAAACCAAACUGAAACCAAGAUUGAAAUCGAGGGAACCCUUCAAUUCGAUCCUAAAUCGAACUGGACUGGAUCCAUGCCUCGUUGAUGGCGAUACGUUCAGGAAAAAACGUUACAACAAAACUUAGGAGCCAAUUCAGUGUGCCAAUUCACCUUUCGUUACAAAUAAGGAGUUUAUUCAACAGCAAACAAGCGUGUUAAAUCAUCACCAUAACCACUAUCCUUUGUAUGCAUAUAGUAUCAGGAUAAAUUUCUAAAUUAAACUCUUAAAAAAGGAGGAUAGUAUGAGAAAACAUUGAGAUGAGCAAAUGAGCAAAUUACCAUAUUGAAGUGAUGAGAUCUGUCUAAUUUGAUAUUUGAUGAUCCAAACAUGAUUCAAAGAAACUAAAAAGCAUGAUUACCUGCAAUUGUUAUGUCAAUCAGCCUUUAUUUUGGCCAGCAAGAGCAUGAGAUUAUGAGAUAGGCAAACUAUUCCUAAACCAACUGUAGUCAAAUCUAGAAAACUAAUCAAUGCUUAAGUUUUCAAGCUCACAAAAAUUCCCACAACACAUUCACAUGCAUUCUCAUCGUUUGCUACCUAAAUCCAAUAGAAG
This 1158-nucleotide unclassified non-coding RNA is filed under the name Hevea brasiliensis (rubber tree). The record is from RNAcentral. Lineage: Eukaryota; Viridiplantae; Streptophyta; Magnoliopsida; Malpighiales; Euphorbiaceae.